Molecule: ribosomal RNA, 253 nt
Filed under: uncultured bacterium
Lineage: Bacteria
Description: partial 16S ribosomal RNA
Rfam family: Bacterial small subunit ribosomal RNA
Source: RNAcentral
UACGUAGGUGGCAAGCGUUGUCCGGAUUUACUGGGCGUAAAGAGCGCGCAGGCGGUCAUUCAAGUCGGGUGUGAAAGCCCCCGGCUCAACUGGGGAGGGUCAUUCGAAACUGGUCGACUCGAAGGCAGGAGAGGGUAGUGGAAUUCCCGGUGUAGUGGUGAAAUGCGUAGAUAUCGGGAGGAACACCAGUGGCGAAGGCGACUACCUGGCCUGUUCUUGACGCUGAGGCGCGAAAGCGUGGGGAGCAAACAGG